AUAAUGGGUCAGCGACUUAUAUUCUGUAGCAAGGUUAACCGAAUAGGGGAGCCGAAGGGAAACCGAGUCUUAACCGGGCGUUAAGUUGCAGGGUAUAGACCCGAAACCCGGUGAUCUAGCCAUGGGCAGGUUGAAGGUUGGGUAACACUAACUGGAGGACCGAACCGACUAAUGUUGAAAAAUUAGCGGAUGACUUGUGGCUGGGGGUGAAAGGCCAAUCAAACCGGGAGAUAGCUGGUUCUCCCCGAAAGCUAUUUAGGUAGCGCCUCGUGAAUUCAUCUCCGGGGGUAGAGCACUGUUUCGGCAAGGGGGUCAUCCCGACUUACCAACCCGAUGCAAACUGCGAAUACCGGAGAAUGUUAUCACGGGAGACACACGGCGGGUGCUAACGUCCGUCGUGAAGAGGGAAACAACCCAGACCGCCAGCUAAGGUCCCAAAGUCAUGGUUAAGUGGGAAACGAUGUGGGAAGGCCCAGACAGCCAGGAUGUUGGCUUAGAAGCAGCCAUCAUUUAAAGAAAGCGUAAUAGCUCACUGGUCGAGUCGGCCUGCGCGGAAGAUGUAACGGGGCUAAACCAUGCACCGAAGCUGCGGCAGCGACACUGUGUGUUGUUGGGUAGGGGAGCGUUCUGUAAGCCUGUGAAGGUGUGCUGUGAGGCAUGCUGGAGGUAUCAGAAGUGCGAAUGCUGACAUAAGUAACGAUAAAGCGGGUGAAAAGCCCGCUCGCCGGAAGACCAAGGGUUCCUGUCCAACGUUAAUCGGGGCAGGGUGAGUCGACCCCUAAGGCGAGGCCGAAAGGCGUAGUCGAUGGGAAACAGGUUAAUAUUCCUGUACUUGGUGUUACUGCGAAGGGGGGACGGAGAAGGCUAUGUUGGCCGGGCGACGGUUGUCCCGGUUUAAGCGUGUAGGCUGGUUUUCCAGGCAAAUCCGGAAAAUCAAGGCUGAGGCGUGAUGACGAGGCACUACGGUGCUGAAGCAACAAAUGCCCUGCUUCCAGGAAAAGCCUCUAAGCAUCAGGUAACAUCAAAUCGUACCCCAAACCGACACAGGUGGUCAGGUAGAGAAUACCAAGGCGCUUGAGAGAACUCGGGUGAAGGAACUAGGCAAAAUGGUGCCGUAACUUCGGGAGAAGGCACGCUGAUAUGUAGGUGAAGUCCCUCGCGGAUGGAGCUGAAAUCAGUCGAAGAUACCAGCUGGCUGCAACUGUUUAUUAAAAACACAGCACUGUGCAAACACGAAAGUGGACGUAUACGGUGUGACGCCUGCCCGGUGCCGGAAGGUUAAUUGAUGGGGUCAGCGCAAGCGAAGCUCUUGAUCGAAGCCCCGGUAAACGGCGGCCGUAACUAUAACGGUCCUAAGGUAGCGAAAUUCCUUGUCGGGUAAGUUCCGACCUGCACGAAUGGCGUAAUGAUGGCCAGGCUGUCUCCACCCGAGACUCAGUGAAAUUGAACUCGCUGUGAAGAUGCAGUGUACCCGCGGCAAGACGGAAAGACCCCGUGAACCUUUACUAUAGCUUGACACUGAACAUUGAGCCUUGAUGUGUAGGAUAGGUGGGAGGCUUUGAAGUGUGGACGCCAGUCUGCAUGGAGCCGACCUUGAAAUACCACCCUUUAAUGUUUGAUGUUCUAACGUGGACCCGUGAUCCGGGUUGCGGACAGUGUCUGGUGGGUAGUUUGACUGGGGCGGUCUCCUCCUAAAGAGUAACGGAGGAGCACGAAGGUUGGCUAAUCCUGGUCGGACAUCAGGAGGUUAGUGCAAUGGCAUAAGCCAGCUUGACUGCGAGCGUGACGGCGCGAGCAGGUGCGAAAGCAGGUCAUAGUGAUCCGGUGGUUCUGAAUGGAAGGGCCAUCGCUCAACGGAUAAAAGGUACUCCGGGGAUAACAGGCUGAUACCGCCCAAGAGUUCAUAUCGACGGCGGUGUUUGGCACCUCGAUGUCGGCUCAUCACAUCCUGGGGCUGAAGUAGGUCCCAAGGGUAUGGCUGUUCGCCAUUUAAAGUGGUACGCGAGCUGGGUUUAGAACGUCGUGAGACAGUUCGGUCCCUAUCUGCCGUGGGCGCUGGAGAACUGAGGGGGGCUGCUCCUAGUACGAGAGGACCGGAGUGGACGCAUCACUGGUGUUCGGGUUGUCAUGCCAAUGGCACUGCCCGGUAGCUAAAUGCGGAAGAGAUAAGUGCUGAAAGCAUCUAAGCACGAAACUUGCCCCGAGAUGAGUUCUCCCUGACCCUUUAAGGGUCCUGAAGGAACGUUGAAGACGACGACGUUGAUAGGCCGGGUGUGUAAGCGCAGCGAUGCGUUGAGCUAACCGGUACUAAUGAACCGUGAGGCUUAACCUUACAACGCCGAAGGUGUUU
RNAcentral lists this ribosomal RNA (2350 nucleotides) under Escherichia coli. RNAcentral's name for it is "partial 23S ribosomal RNA". It matches the Rfam family "Bacterial large subunit ribosomal RNA", at positions 612 to 2925 of the family's 2925-position model. The record is from RNAcentral. Lineage: Bacteria; Pseudomonadati; Pseudomonadota; Gammaproteobacteria; Enterobacterales; Enterobacteriaceae.